Molecule: long non-coding RNA, 2169 nt
Filed under: Homo sapiens (human)
Lineage: Eukaryota; Metazoa; Chordata; Mammalia; Primates; Hominidae
Source: RNAcentral
AUGAAAUCUCAGGCUCCUGGGCGGGGCUGGGGAGGCCGGCCUUGUCACAGGCAGGAGGGGCCGCAUUCCUUCCUCAGCAGCUGGUGGAGCUGGGCCUGAGCAGGACUUCCCCAAAGGACUGAGAAGGAAGCCUCCACUCUGUCGUCGCUCUCUGGAUCUCAUGAUGCAACAGUAGAGAGAAGUUGUUGUCUCACCUCACCUCUCAACCAUCUCCAAAAUAACCGGUCAGAGUAGCAGUACUUGAGCAUCCAUCCAUCCACGCAUCUAGACAGUUUCCCAGAUCUGGACCCCGGUGAGAAAAGGGAACUAAUCGGACUUCUUUUUCUGAAAUUCCAGCUUGGAAUUGCCUUCGGAAGACAUCCUCAAUCCUGCCCCAGCCUUACGAUUGUUUUGUGUCAUUAGAUGAAGUCACUUCACUUCUGAAGCUCACUUGCCUUUUCUAAAAACCGGAGGCUGAUAAGGAUUGCAGGAAACUCAUGGAGUUGUUCCGAGGUUAAAAUGAGAGUCUGCCUGUGGAAGGACAUUGCAGAUGAUAGAAGACACAGAUGUAAGGCAUCUACCUUAUCUUUACCAGUUUCAUCUUCUUCAUCUUCAUCUCAUUACCAUGGUCAUCCUCGUUAGCAGGGAAGAGCAGGAGUUCUCACGGCAGGAUAGGCUUCGCGGCUGUGCUGGGAAAUGCCUGUCUGAAGUAGGCCACACAUGGGCUGUGUGGAGGCUGGAGUGCACUGGUGUGAUCUCGGCUCACUGCAACCUCCACCUCCUGAGUUCAAGCGAUUCUUCUGCCUCAGUUUCCUGAGUAGCUGGAGCUAUAGGCGCAUGUCACCAUGCCCGGAUAAUUUUUGUAUUUUUGUAGUAGAGAUGGGGUUUUGCCAUAUUGGCCAAGCUGGUCUCAAACUGCUGACCUUGUGAUCCACCCACCUUGGCCUCCCAAAGUGCUGGGAUUACAGGCCUGAGCCACCGCACCCGGCCUUGUAUUUCUUUUUCUAUAAAUUACCUCUGUACCCUUUAUCCAUUUUAAAAAUUGGGCUGUCACUUAAAAAAAACUUAUUUGAUGGCAUUGUUUGUACCUUAGGACAUUAACUCUUUUAUAUAAGUUCUAUAGAACUUAUAUAAGUUAUAUAAGUUCUAUAUAACUUAUAUAAUGUUCUAUAAGUUCUAUAUAACUUAUAUAAUGUUCUAUAAGUUCUAUAUAACUUAUAUAAUGUUCUAUAAGUUCUAUAUAACUUAUAUAAUGUUCUAUAAGUUCUAUAUAACUUAUAUAAUGUUCUAUAAGUUCUAUAUAACUUAUAUAAUGUUAUAUAAGUUCCAAAUAAUUUGGAAAUUCCGGUCUGUAAUGAUUGGCUAUUAAAUUAUAACACUGAUGAUCAUCUUUUCGGUUUCUUUCAUUCAUUUAUUUUUGAAGAGCUGCACAAUAGAAUGGAAAAGAGCACUGAAUCAGGAGUAAAAAGAGCUGGGUGUUGACUUGGUACAUCCACAAACUAGCUGUGUAACCUUGUGGAUGCCGUGAAUGUCUCUGUGCUUCAGCCUCCUCGCCUGCAAGAAGUAUGGCAGAUUCACAUCUUGAAUUAUAUGGUGCCCAACCGUAUUAGUGAUUCUGAUUCCCUGGUGAAUAUGGCAACCAGUGAAUUGGGAAGUGGGGGUGAGUAUCAGCUAAAGAAAUGAAAGCACCAGCCUGGCAGGUAAACAGUUCACAGUCCCCCAGAGAUGGCACAGAAGGGCUGUAGUACUAGGGGAUGGGAGACUUGGCAUCUUAGACAAGUCACUGUUCCUGUCUUGGCCUUGGAAUUUUGAUCUGGAAAAUGGGGAUGGGGAAUUGUGGAUGACUAAAGAUUUCUGAGCUGCCUUCCAGCUCUGCUGUUCUGUGAUGGCCCAUGUGAGUCACAGGUAGGUGCUUCUGUGGUGGCCGGCUGGCCGUUUAUCUGGUGGCCUCCCCUCCUCCCUCCCUGCGGGUGGCCCCUCUCCCACACCCUUUCUAACACACUGGGCAUAACUGCUUUACAGCAUCCAUCUGGCUGCUCUUGGUGUGUCUCUGUGUGAGCAACUUCAGAACAAGACUUCUCAACUUUUAAAAAAAGCCUGAUUAAAAAAUUCUCUGUUGAUUAUUAAACAUGCUCAUUGUAGGGAAAAACAAAAUUCAUAAAGCAGAUAAAGAAUUCUAAUAAAUCUGAG